CUACGGGGUGCACCAGUGGGGAAUAUUGGACAAUGGGGGAAACCCUGAUCCAGCAAUGCCGCGUGUGUGAAGAAGGCCUGCGGGUUGUAAAGCACUUUCGGUUGGGAGGACUGCUUCUAGCACUAAUAUUGUUGGAAGUUGACGUUACCUUCAGAAGAAGCACCGGCUAACUCCGUGCCAGCAGCCGCGGUAAUACGGAGGGUGCAAACGUUAAUCGGAAUUACUGGGCGUAAAGCGCGCGUAGGCGGCUAGAUCAGUCGGGUGUGAAAGCCCCGGGCUUAACCUGGGAACUGCAUCCGAUACUGGCUAGCUUGAGUACAGGAGAGGAGAGUGGAAUUCCACAUGUAGCGGUGAAAUGCGUAGAUAUGUGGAGGAACACCAAUGGCGAAGGCAGCUCUCUGGCCUGAUACUGACGCUGAGGUGCGAAAGCGUGGGGAUCAAACAGGAUUAGAUACCCGUGUAGUC
Molecule: ribosomal RNA, 465 nt
Filed under: uncultured bacterium
Lineage: Bacteria
Description: partial 16S ribosomal RNA
Rfam family: Bacterial small subunit ribosomal RNA
Source: RNAcentral